RNAcentral lists this long non-coding RNA (2844 nucleotides) under Homo sapiens (human). Its description in RNAcentral is "HSALNT0407715". Lineage: Eukaryota; Metazoa; Chordata; Mammalia; Primates; Hominidae. The record is from RNAcentral.
UCUUAAAAUGUAAUAAUAAUAAAAAAAAAUAGCAAGUGAAGUACCCCAGAUGAAGCCGUUAAUAUAUUUCAUAUGCAAGCUGUGAGAGACUAGCUUUAUAAUAACUGUGAUAUCCUCCCACCAAAUUUGUCUAUCGUCUGGGUCAUGGUAUAUUUGAUGGUUAAGGGGGGCCCUUUUAUAUGGGUGCCCCUCUCACAGAAUUAUGGGUCUUUUUAAGAAGGCUUAUCAAAUCUGUCCCUCAUAUGCCUUAAAGAUGCAACUCCCUGCUGGGAACCCAAGUCUUUUUCACCAGAAAAAUUAAAGUGGUCUGGGGUUAAAAAAGACUUCUGGGGACCAGAACAUAAAACAUACAGAUUAAUAGAAUUAUAAAAUGUAAGAUGUUUAAACAAGCUCUCUGUGAGGUAGUUGUAACCCCUUUUACCUAAAUGUCUUAUGAAAAUGGAUAGUAUAUCUAACUGUGGAAUGUUUUCCUCUUUCUAGUACUGUAAAGCUGAAGACAUGUAAAUCUGCUCAUGUAAAUCCUCCACUGCAUAGUCUUUUGUUUGGAGCAUUUAUGGGGCUUAUGGUAAAAACCGUGUGUACUUUUCAGUAACAACGACUGAGCUAGAGAAUUUCUACUUCGUGGGGCAUUUACUGCCUUGCUGUGGAAUAUUAACUGGAGCUACCCCUAUACUAAUGGGAAUAAUGUUUUCCAAAAAGUUCCAUGGUAAAAUAAAAAUGGUUUACAUAAAAUCUUGCUAUAUAAUAAGCAGAGAGCCUUUUUCUAGGACUAAUUGUAAGAAGCUGCUAAAUUCUAUAGUGCCAAAUAGCUCUCAUGAGCUGUUUGGUUUGUAAAUGACAUUUCCAAGGUAAACAAACAUCUUGUCUUAAAAGCUGCUGCUCUGGUUAAAAGAGGGUCAAGACAUUUUUUUUUAAGUUAUUUGGAAAAAGUAUGUUUUUGUAAGCAAAUUUACCUUUCUGAGUUCUCCAAAAUUCAGAUUGUGAUUUUAUAACAUUAUAAUUGUCUGCAUUAGUUUAAUGAUAAUUAAAAAAUAAUUGUUUUAAGGGAAAAGUGUGACACUUAAUACUAGAUUUCAGUCCUAACUUUUUAAGUGCAGAUUAAAUUAUUGUUCUUGGCUACAAUAAUCCUCUAGAAAGUACCAGAUUGUAAUUUUUCUUCAUAUUUUUAGUUGGUGCCCUAAUAGAAUAGGGCACCUUUCUAUUUCCUUUUUCUGUUCUAACAUACAAAUUAUUCUAUAAUUGUCAAACUAUAAAUGUUAUUUAUCUCUCCUUGUUUUACUUCCAAGGAAACCAAAAUCAUGGUAUUCUGAAGACCAGAGAUAUGAAUCUCCUUCAUUUGGCAUCCCACCGGCCCCGAUCUGUUUCACUGCUAAUGUUCUGCUGCCAAAACUAUACAAGCUGCCUCACCCCUAGGCCCAGGGACUAUCACAGAAGAGAGCCAAUAAAACUUUUCUUUUGAGUGAUUUGCAGCUUUUAACAAGUAAGUAAAAUAUACUCCUGUGAACAAAAUUUGGAGCAUAUUUGUUUCUCUCUACCUGAUUUCUCCAGAAUUUGGAAACUAUUUACUGAACCUGCUUAUUUCUGUGAACCAACCAGUGAUCUCUUAUGGCUGUUCAAAAGUAACAAGAGAGAUAUCACCUUUUGUCAUAACUCAAGUCUUAUGAAUGGCCCUCACCAUAAUGAUGCUUUUUGACUGAGCUCUUCUCUAACCUGAAUGCAAGAGGUUAGGCAUGAAUAUCAUCCCCCCUGUUCAGCCUGAAGAAGUUACAGAAGAUGAAUCUUCCACUCUCUACAGCCCUUAGGAUUAAGGGUUCUCUUACUGAAUGUAUUCUUAAACUGAACACUUAUUAAUCUUCCAGAUAUCACCUUUUGUCAUAACUCAAGACUUAUGAAUGGCCCUCACCAUAAUGAUGCUUUUUGACUGAGCUCUUCUCUAACCUGAAUGCAAGAGGUUAGGCAUGAAUAUCAUCCCCCCUGUUCAGCCUGAAGAAGUUACAGAAGAUGAAUCUUCCUCUCUCUACAGCCCUUAGGAUUAAGGGUUCUCUUACUGAAUGUAUUCUUAAACUGAACACUUAUUAAUCUUCCAGAUAUCACCUUUUGUCAUAACUCAAGACUUAUGAAUGGCCCUCACCAUAAUGAUGCUUUUUGACUGAGCUCUUCUCUAACCUGAAUGCAAGAGGUUAGGCAUGAAUAUCAUCCCCCCUGUUCAGCCUGAAGAAGUUACAGAAGAUGAAUCUUCCUCUCUCUACAGCCCUUAGGAUUAAGGGUUCUCUUAUAAAAGGGAGGGGGUAAAUAUGUCAGAGGCAUUUGAACCAGAGAAACUCCAUCUUGAAUAGUCCCUGUGUAAAAUAAGACUGAGACCUACUGGGAUGCAUUCCCAGGAGGUUAGGCAUUCUAAUUCACAGGAUGAGAUAAGAAGUCUCCACAAGAUACAGAUUAUAAAGAUUUGGCUGAUAAAACUGUUUGUGAUAAAGAAGCUGGCCAAAACACACCAAAACCAAGAUGCCAACAAAAGUGUCCUCUGGUUGUCCUCACUGCUCAUUAUAUGCUAAUUAUAAUGCAUUAGCAUGUUAAAAGACACUCCCACCAGUGCAAUGACAAUGUACAAAUGCCUUGGCAACAUCAAGAAGUUACCCUAUAUGGUUUAAAAAUGGUAGGAACCCUCAGUUCUGGGAAUUGCCCACCCCUUUUCUGGAAAACUCAUGAAUAAUCCACCCCUUAUUUAGCAUAUAAUCAAGAAAUAACUGGAAGUAUCCUUAGUGAAGCAGGCCAAGCCACUACUCUUCCUAUGGAGUAGACAUUCUUUCAUUAGUUAACUUUAUUAAUAAACUUGCUUUCACUUUA